UACGUAGGUGGCGAGCGUUGUCCGGAUUUACUGGGCGUAAAGGGAGCGUAGGCGGACUUUUAAGUGAGAUGUGAAAUACCCGGGCUCAACUUGGGUGCUGCAUUUCAAACUGGAAGUCUAGAGUGCAGGAGAGGAGAAUGGAAUUCCUAGUGUAGCGGUGAAAUGCGUAGAUAUUAGGAGGAACACCAGUUGCGAAGGCGGCCUCUGGACUGUAACUGACACUGAGGCACGAAAGCGUGGGGAGCAAACAGGAUUAGAUACCCCGGUAGU
Molecule: ribosomal RNA, 270 nt
Filed under: uncultured prokaryote
Description: partial 16S ribosomal RNA
Rfam family: Bacterial small subunit ribosomal RNA
Source: RNAcentral